GACCAAAUAUGGGAAUGGUUUUCCACAAGAAUUUGCAAGACAACAAUGGAGUUUCUCUUGAUUCAAUGGGAGGAAGAAGAGAUUAUGUCUUGCAAUAUGUGGGAACCAUAACCCCCACUUUAUAACUCAUGAGGUACAAAACUCAAAAGUCACAAGCAUGUAACCAUGGUUACAUAUAUGUAACCUUAGUUAGCCCAUCAUUAACUAAGGUUACCCUUUUGGGUAUCUACACAUUAGUCCUACACUUN
Molecule: long non-coding RNA, 248 nt
Filed under: Nicotiana benthamiana
Lineage: Eukaryota; Viridiplantae; Streptophyta; Magnoliopsida; Solanales; Solanaceae
Description: long non-coding RNA (NBEN_LNC024281)
Source: RNAcentral